CGGCUUUGUUACUAUCAGCACGACUGUUUUGUUCAGGUUACAAUAAUAAUUUACUAAUGACACACUUUUGUCCCUUGAGUCUGUGUGUUAUCUAAUAAAGACCAAUAAAGAUAGGGCGAAUACAAACUUUUAAAGAGCCGAUCUGAUUGAUGGUUCGUAUUAUGCUGACCAGAGGAGGGCGACAAAAUAUUGAUUUUGAAAACUACAGAUCCGGAGAAAUUGAAUCCAUCAAGUGACUUCCCAAAAGGAAAUGCUUUCUAAGAAAAAUAUAAGACUGGCUUAGUUCAAUUGAACACAUGAGUAGCUGAGUGGAUCAAGGGGCAUCACCUUCCAUAAGGAUGUAUAUUAGCCUGGGAACACCAGACGCUGGAAGAGGACCAGGAAACAAACAACCCAACAGCAUGUUUUAAUGGAAUUGGGGAAUGUUGGAUAAUGGAAGUGAAUCUAUGAAUACAUGGUUUUCUGGACAAAGGAAACAUGACAGAUUUGCUUACAUGGACACAGUGAUGUGUUACACAUACGAAUGUUCUUUACCACUUUAAGGCUCACAGGUAGCUCAUACUAGAAAUUCCAUCAAUAAGAAAUGCACUAA
Osmerus eperlanus (European smelt) is the source of this 592-nucleotide long non-coding RNA. RefSeq lists it as uncharacterized. The transcript is spliced from 4 exons. The record is from RefSeq and is a predicted model, not a curated record. NCBI's taxonomy places the organism in Eukaryota, Metazoa, Chordata, Actinopteri, Osmeriformes, Osmeridae.